Molecule: long non-coding RNA, 2089 nt
Organism: Numida meleagris (helmeted guineafowl)
Lineage: Eukaryota; Metazoa; Chordata; Aves; Galliformes; Numididae
Source: Ensembl
CUGUCUAAGCAAAAGGAAAUGGUCCUUUUAUAAUAGGGAAUGAUCUUUCUGUGUGAACUUUUAAAAAUCUCCUCUGAGACUUUGUCCCCAUCAGACCAACAGAAAAGAAAUCCUGGCGUGCUGGUGGGCAGCACAAAGCCAAGACUCCUGCAAGAUCACUGUGUAGCUGCAGCCAGUCAUUGAAAUACACAACCUCCUGGCACUUCCCUGGAGUGGAUAGCAGGCAGGAUGCUGCGAUGUCUAGUAUUGACCAGCUGGUGGACGAGACCAUCUUGUGCAGUGCCAGGAGAUGGCUUUCUCACUUCUGGUCACAGCUCUGACCCAUUGAACCGACCUCCUCUGUGUCACAGCGUUGCCUUCUUGCUUGCACUCUGGCUUGCCGAUUUACUAUAAAUUUUGAAUGGAUUGCCAUUUUGAUGGAGAAUGGAAAUUAAUAUUGGAACAAUAUGAAGUUCCAUGAUUUGGAAAGUUCAGGGUUUCAGCUUUAAGAUAGCAAGUCAUGCAACAGACUCAUUGGAAUGCAAAUUUCAUCAGUGAAGAAACAGAAGAAGGUUGGUAGUCCUGUUCUAACAAUUAAAUAGCUCGUUCCUUUUCUUAUCUGCUGUAUCCUAUCAAACAGAUGGUCCUACAAUCUGCAGUGACUAAUCAUGGGAAAACUAAUGGUCAUGUUUUUUAAAAUGGCCACUUAUCUCUUAAUAAAUGAAAUCUCCUCUUUUUAGGACAGUUGGCUGCCCUGUCUCUGAAACUCAGGUUCCUCUUGGGAUGCCAGAAGUGGAGAGCCCUUGUUCUUUCAUCGCUGUCACACUGAAAAUCUCCACUGUGAGAAAGAGACUGACUUGUGCCGGAACAAGAGCGGUCAGGUGGCAUGCUUUGGACCAGCCAUGUCUCUCAAGCCCUUGCUGUUCCCUUGGCUUCUGGCUGCAGGCAAGAUGGAGAGAAGAAACCAGAGAGCUGCCAUGGAGUCAGAAUGAGCAUGUAACUCACCCAGGAUUUUGGAUAACUGCAUUUGUCUUCAGCACUACUAGCAGGAGGAGAAAUAGUUUGCCAACUACAGCACAAAUUGUGAAGCCUGAGAGGAUAGAGGUGUGAACAUAUUAAUGCUAAAAUACGGUGACUUCUUGAAAGCGAUUGUUGAGAAGGAGAAGAAACAAGGUACAGGCUGUGCUGGAAGAUGUAGAGCAGACUUGUGUUCUGCGUGCUAUAUAAAGAUUAAUCUUCAUACACCGACAGUUUUUCUCAGCAGAACUGACUUUUUUUUUCUUUUGCUAAUGUUAAUGGAAAUGUACUAGCACAAUUUACCAGAGACAUUUACAGCUGUUAAGACGGAGUGAAAUGGAAAGAAUCUGUGAGAAGAAAAACCCAGGAGAUUUGGCACUUGCCUAGGUGACAGGAAGCACAAAUUGAGAGGACGCUGUCUUCUUCAAGGGUCAUUGCAAACUUGGACAAAUUCUGUUGUUUGGGAGCAGUGGUAAAUGUUGUAGGAGUGCUUCUUGUCUUUUUUUUUUUUUUUUUUUGCUGAUGCUUCUUUUUUUUUAUUGCGGGGAGAGAGUUGUUUUGUUGUUGUUUUUUUUUCCAAGGGAAGGAGCACUUUAAGCAGUGCUUUAACCAUCAUUUAAGCAGAGGGUAGUGAGCCUGUCACAUCUGUCUGGACCUUAAUCCACUUCAGUGUGUUUGUAUAUUAAGUAGGACAAAGGGCCUGGCAGCCUGAUUUGCUUGUAGAUACUGCUCUGUGAACUUAGUAAAAGUGCUAAUAUAGAGUGCAAAUCUCUCAUUUCUGCUUGCAAGCCAAGCAGCCUUCAAAGAGACCUUCACAAUUUAUCUAUUUACCCACUCAUUGAAGUAUUGGAGCACUUCAUUGUUUUAAUACCAUCAUCCUGGUGCUAUGCCUAGAAAGUGGGACAGAAAAAAAGGAGUUCCUCUGUAAUUUAAAUCCUAAAGUCUACAGGAGCUCAGCGGAAGGAGGUACCUUCCAGAGCAGUGUCUUGCAGCCUAUCAGAAAGGUCCGAGCACAUGGUUUGGGACUGCACAUUUUUCCAAGUUAGGGGAAUAGUUGAGAGCCCAAGGACAGGAGCUGUGUGAGGUGGUACAG